RNAcentral lists this ribosomal RNA (491 nucleotides) under uncultured bacterium. RNAcentral's name for it is "partial 16S ribosomal RNA". It matches the Rfam family "Bacterial small subunit ribosomal RNA", at positions 29 to 507 of the family's 1533-position model. The record is from RNAcentral.
AGUGAACGCUGGCGGUAGGCCUAACACAUGCAAGUCGAACGGCAGCACAGUAAGAGCUUGCUCUUACGGGUGGCGAGUGCGGACGGGUGAGGAAUACAUCGGAAUCUACUUUUUCGUGGGGGAUAACGUAGGGAAACUUACGCUAAUACCGCAUACGACCUACGGGUGAAAGCCGGGGAUCUUCGGACCUUGCGCGAUUGAAUGAGCCGAUGUCGGAUUAGCUAGUUGGCGGGGUAAAGGCCCACCAAGGCGACGAUCCGUAGCUGGUCUGAGAGGAUGAUCAGCCACACUGGAACUGAGACACGGUCCAGACUCCUACGGGAGGCAGCAGUGGGGAAUAUUGGACAAUGGGCGCAAGCCUGAUCCAGCCAUACCGCGUGGGUGAAGAAGGCCUUCGGGUUGUAAAGCCCUUUUGUUGGGAAAGAAAAGCAGCAGGUUAAUACCCCGCUGCUCUGACGGUACCCAAAGAAUAAGCACCGGCUAACUUCGUG